RNAcentral lists this ribosomal RNA (301 nucleotides) under uncultured bacterium. Its description in RNAcentral is "partial 16S ribosomal RNA". It matches the Rfam family "Bacterial small subunit ribosomal RNA", at positions 509 to 807 of the family's 1533-position model. The record is from RNAcentral.
CAGCAGCCGCGGGAAUACGGAGGGUGCAAGCGUUAAUCGGAGUUACUGGGCGUAAAGCGCACGCAGGCGGUCUGUCAAGUCAGAUGUGAAAUCCCCGGGCUUAACCUGGGAACUGCAUUUGAAACUGGCAGGCUAGAGUCUUGUAGAGGGGGGUAGAAUUCCAGGUGUAGCGGUGAAAUGCGUAGAGAUCUGGAGGAAUACCGGUGGCGAAGGCGACCACCUGGGCUCAUACUGACACUGAGGUGCGAAAGCGUGGGGAGCAAACAGGAUUAGAUACCCGUGUAGUCCCUGUCUCUUAUAC